This 242-nucleotide unclassified non-coding RNA is filed under the name plant metagenome. RNAcentral's name for it is "partial contains small subunit ribosomal RNA, internal transcribed spacer 1, and 5.8S ribosomal RNA". The stretch from base 1 to 54 matches the Rfam family "Eukaryotic small subunit ribosomal RNA", at positions 1778 to 1831 of the family's 1831-position model. The record is from RNAcentral.
GGAAGUAAACGUCGUAACAAGGUUUCCGUAGGUGAACCUGCGGAAGGAUCACUAAAGAGAACUUGCCCUUCGGGGUAGAUCUCCCACCCUUUGUUUAUUAUACUUUGUUGCUUUGGCGGGCCUGCCUCACGGCUGCCGGCGUAAGCUGGCUCGCGCCCGCCAGAGACCCCUAAACUCUGAAUAUUGUCGUCUGAGUAAUAUAUAAUAAGUUAAAACUUUCAACAACGGAUCUCUUGGUUCUG